CCUACGGGUGGCAGCCGUGAGGAAUAUUGGUCAAUGGGCGCUAGCCUGAACCCGCCAAGUAGCGUGAAGGAUGACUGCCCUAUUGGUUGUAAACUUCUUUUAUCUGGGAAUAAAGUGCAGUCUGUAUACUGCUUUGCAUGUCCCUUAUGAAUAAGGCUCGGCUAACUACGUGCCAGCCGCCGCGGUAAUACGGAGGAUCCGAGCGUUAUCAGGAUUUAUUGGGUUUAAAGGGAGCGUAGGCGGGUGGUUACGUCAGUUGUGAAAGUUUGCGGCUCAACCGUAAAAUUGCAGUUGAUACUGGCAUCCUUGAGUACAGUAGAGGUAGGCGGAAUUCGUGGUGUAGCGGUGAAAUGCUUAGAUAUCACGAAGAACUCCGAUUGCGAAGGCAGCCUGCUGGACUGUAACUGACGCUGAUGCUCGAAAGUGUGGGUAUCAAACAGGAUUAGAUACCCGAGUAGUC
Molecule: ribosomal RNA, 460 nt
Filed under: uncultured bacterium
Lineage: Bacteria
Description: partial 16S ribosomal RNA
Rfam family: Bacterial small subunit ribosomal RNA
Source: RNAcentral